AUCUUUCUAGUACUAAAGUAGUAUAAAUGACUUCCAAUCAUUUGGUCUUGGUUAAAGCCCAAGGAAAGAUA
Molecule: transfer RNA, 71 nt
Filed under: Odontobutis interrupta
Lineage: Eukaryota; Metazoa; Chordata; Actinopteri; Gobiiformes; Odontobutidae
Description: tRNA-Gly
Rfam family: tRNA
About the family: Transfer RNA (tRNA) molecules are approximately 80 nucleotides in length. Their secondary structure includes four short double-helical elements and three loops (D, anti-codon, and T loops). Further hydrogen bonds mediate the characteristic L-shaped molecular structure. tRNAs have two regions of fundamental functional importance: the anti-codon, which is responsible for specific mRNA codon recognition, and the 3' end, to which the tRNAs corresponding amino acid is attached (by aminoacyl-tRNA synthetases). tRNAs cope with the degeneracy of the genetic code in two manners: having more than one tRNA (with a specific anti-codon) for a particular amino acid; and 'wobble' base-pairing, i.e. permitting non-standard base-pairing at the 3rd anti-codon position.
Source: RNAcentral